Non-coding RNA from Xyrichtys novacula (pearly razorfish), 353 nucleotides. Lineage: Eukaryota; Metazoa; Chordata; Actinopteri; Labriformes; Labridae. The record is from the annotation of a GenBank genome assembly.
CAGACAUUGUAAACCUGAAUAAUAACACCUCCCUGAAACACAGUGUGAACACAGCAUCCCUUGAAGUGGCUUGUCCCUCUGUGUCACCAUGAGGAAAAUGACAAAGCACCGUGUCACAGAGGAAUGCCAGGCAUGUCGACUCCAGUCACCCAGGUCAGUUUCCUGAUGGCGGGGCCAGUUUUAUGGUUGUGCUGACUGCUGCUUUUGAUGGUGUAAUUGUGACAAUGAUCUCAUUCUCUCCCUCUCUCAAGGAGCUCAGCCUUCCUUCCUUCCCAGAGCCUGGCAGUCAGGAGGGAGAGGAGGUGGGGGUGCACAUUUCAUUAGCCUUCAAUUCAUAUUGAAUUUAUUAAUCC